UACAGAGGUCCCAAGCGUUGUUCGGAUUCAUUGGGCGUAAAGGGUGCGUAGGCGGAUUGUUAAGUCAGGGGUGAAAUCCCGGGGCUCAACCUCGGAACUGCCUUUGAUACUGGGGAUCUCGAGUCCGGGAGAGGUGAGCGGAACUGCGAGUGUAGAGGUGAAAUUCGUAGAUAUUCGCAAGAACACCAGUGGCGAAGGCGGCUCACUGGCCCGGUACUGACGCUGAGGUGCGAAAGCGUGGGGAGCAAACAGG
This 253-nucleotide ribosomal RNA is filed under the name uncultured bacterium. Its description in RNAcentral is "partial 16S ribosomal RNA". It matches the Rfam family "Bacterial small subunit ribosomal RNA", at positions 524 to 776 of the family's 1533-position model. The record is from RNAcentral.